GCCCGCGUAGCUUAAAUUUAAAGCUUAACACUGAAGAUGUUAGAAUGGGCCUUAAUAAAGCCCCGCAAGCA
RNAcentral lists this transfer RNA (71 nucleotides) under Scolopsis vosmeri (whitecheek monocle bream). RNAcentral's name for it is "tRNA-Phe". It matches the Rfam family "tRNA". Rfam says of the family: Transfer RNA (tRNA) molecules are approximately 80 nucleotides in length. Their secondary structure includes four short double-helical elements and three loops (D, anti-codon, and T loops). The record is from RNAcentral. Lineage: Eukaryota; Metazoa; Chordata; Actinopteri; Spariformes; Nemipteridae.